CGGGGGAAGAAAUAAUUAAGCUUCACUAUUUUGUGCCGGCUUAACUCGUUUCACAAAUGUAAUAAGAUGUUUUUAACUCGUUCCACCGCUGUCAACUGGGGGACUUGUCUCUGCCUUAUCUUCAGAUUCUUCAGGUUUGCUUGCACUUUCCACAUUCUCAAGCUUUGAGACACGAAACUUUGCAAGGUGAAUAUCACCAAUUGUGAGAAUGCUUCCAGGAGGUGCCUUGGCUACAACUCCAGGUCUCAGACGCUUGUCAUCAAUGAAUGUCCCAUUAGUACUAUCCAAAUC
This 291-nucleotide unclassified non-coding RNA is filed under the name Hevea brasiliensis (rubber tree). Lineage: Eukaryota; Viridiplantae; Streptophyta; Magnoliopsida; Malpighiales; Euphorbiaceae. The record is from RNAcentral.